RNAcentral lists this ribosomal RNA (285 nucleotides) under uncultured Bacteroidota bacterium. Its description in RNAcentral is "uncultured Bacteroidetes bacterium partial 16S ribosomal RNA". It matches the Rfam family "Bacterial small subunit ribosomal RNA", at positions 58 to 339 of the family's 1533-position model. Lineage: Bacteria; Pseudomonadati; Bacteroidota. The record is from RNAcentral.
CAAGUCGAGGGGUAACAGGGUGUAGCAAUACACCGCUGACGACCGGCGCACGGGUGAGUAACGCGUAUGCAACCUGCCUUUGACAGAGGGAUAGCCCAUGGAAACGUGGAUUAAUACCUCAUAGUCUCUUUUUCUUCCUGGGGAAUAGAGUAAAACGUGAGUGGUCAAAGAUGGGCAUGCGUCCUAUUAGGCAGUUGGCGGGGUAACGGCCCACCAAACCGAUGAUAGGUAGGGGUUCUGAGAGGAAGGUCCCCCACACUGGUACUGAGACACGGACCAGACUCC